This 390-nucleotide ribosomal RNA is filed under the name Salmonella enterica subsp. enterica serovar Agona. RNAcentral's name for it is "bacterial SSU rRNA". It matches the Rfam family "Bacterial small subunit ribosomal RNA", at positions 1126 to 1515 of the family's 1533-position model. Lineage: Bacteria; Pseudomonadati; Pseudomonadota; Gammaproteobacteria; Enterobacterales; Enterobacteriaceae. The record is from RNAcentral.
UUCGGUCGGGAACUCAAAGGAGACUGCCAGUGAUAAACUGGAGGAAGGUGGGGAUGACGUCAAGUCAUCAUGGCCCUUACGACCAGGGCUACACACGUGCUACAAUGGCGCAUACAAAGAGAAGCGACCUCGCGAGAGCAAGCGGACCUCAUAAAGUGCGUCGUAGUCCGGAUUGGAGUCUGCAACUCGACUCCAUGAAGUCGGAAUCGCUAGUAAUCGUGGAUCAGAAUGCCACGGUGAAUACGUUCCCGGGCCUUGUACACACCGCCCGUCACACCAUGGGAGUGGGUUGCAAAAGAAGUAGGUAGCUUAACCUUCGGGAGGGCGCUUACCACUUUGUGAUUCAUGACUGGGGUGAAGUCGUAACAAGGUAACCGUAGGGGAACCUGC